UGGGGAAUUUUGGACAAUGGGGGCAACCCUAUCCAGCCAUUCCGCGUGAGUGAAGAAGGCCUUCGGGUUGUAAAGCUCUUUUGUCCGGGAAGAAACGGUUUUGGUUAAUUCCCAAGACUACUGACGGUACCGGAAGAAUAAGGACCGGCUAACUACGUG
RNAcentral lists this ribosomal RNA (159 nucleotides) under bacterium 081659. Its description in RNAcentral is "partial 16S rRNA". It matches the Rfam family "Bacterial small subunit ribosomal RNA", at positions 355 to 507 of the family's 1533-position model. The record is from RNAcentral.